RNAcentral lists this non-coding RNA (61 nucleotides) under Arabidopsis thaliana (thale cress). Lineage: Eukaryota; Viridiplantae; Streptophyta; Magnoliopsida; Brassicales; Brassicaceae. The record is from RNAcentral.
UAGUGGCGUACAGAGUAGUCAAGCAUGACCAAAGCUUAUCAUAAUAUCUACAUUAUAUGUA